AUGUUUGAGCUGUUCCCAUCCCCAUCUCCCCUUUUUCCCGCAGGGCUCCGGGCGGCCGUGACCCUGCUGGAGUCCGGGGGGGACCUCCAGCCCCCCGGGGGGUCCCUGCGCCUCCUCUGCCGAGGGUCCGGGUUCAAUUUCGAGGAUUUCAACAUGGGCUGGAUGCGCCAGAGGCCCGGGCAGGGGCUGGAGUUCGUGGCAGGGAUCAGCAACAAUGGUGGCAACAUCGGCUACGCGCCCUCGCUCAAGGGCCGGGUGACGAUCUCCAGGGACAACGGGCAGAGCUCGGUGACGCUGACCAUGAACAGCCUCAAGGACGAGGAUUCCGGAUCCUAUUUCUGUGCCAAGGGUGUUUACAGUUGUUGUGCCACUUCUGCUCCUGAUGUUGGGCGUG
Molecule: non-coding RNA, 394 nt
Organism: Pyrgilauda ruficollis (rufous-necked snowfinch)
Lineage: Eukaryota; Metazoa; Chordata; Aves; Passeriformes; Passeridae
Source: the annotation of a RefSeq genome assembly